CGGAGAGGGCGCCUGAGAAACGGCUACCACUUCUAAGGAAGGCAGCAGGCGCGCAAAUUACCCAAUCCUGACUCAGGGAGGUAGUGACAAGAAAUAACAAUAAACCGGCUUAUGCCGGUUUAAUUGGAAUGAGUACAAUUUAAACAUCUUAACGAGGAACAAUUGGAGGGCAAGUCUGGUGCCAGCAGCCGCGGUAAUUCCAGCUCCAAUAGCGUAUACUAAAGUUGUUGCAGUUAAAAAGCUCGUAGUUGGAUUUCUGCGGGGACGGAGCGGCCGGACGCAACUUGCGUCUCGAGCUAGCGCUUUCCCCGCAUCCUGCCGCGAACCGUGCUACCAUUAGUUUGGUGGCGCUGGGGAUCGGCUCGACUACUUUGAGAAAAAUAGAGUGUUCAAAGCAGGCCACGCGCCUUGAAUAAGUUAGCAUGGAAUAAUGACUAAGGACUUCGGUUCUAUUUUGUUGGUGUUCGGGACUGAAGUAAUGAUUGAUAGGGACAGUUGGGGCGGUCUGUAUUCCAAAGCGAGAGGUGAAAUUCUUAGACCUUCGGAAGACAAACAGCUGCGAAAGCGUUCCGCAAGGAUGUUCCCUUUGAUCAAGAACGAAAGUUGGGGGACCGAAGACGAUCAGAUACCGUCGUAGUCUCAACUAUAAACUAUACCAGCUAGGGAUCGGCCAACGUUUAAUUAUUCGACUUGGUCGGCACCUUAUGAGAAAUCAAAGCAUCUGGGUUCCGGGGGGAGUAUGGUCGCAAGGCUGAAACUUAAAGGAAUUGACGGAAGGGCACCACCAGCCGUGGAGCCUGUGGCUUAAUUUGACUCAACACGGGAAAACUUACCAGGUCCAGACAUAGGAAGGAUUGACAGAUUGAUAGCUCUUUCUUGAUUCUGUGGGUGGUGGUGCAUGGCCGUUUUUAGUUGGUGGAGUGAUUUGUCUGCUUAAUUGCGUUAACGAACGAGACCCCAGCCUGCUAAAUAGCGCGGCCGAGCUUUGCUCGGUGCGAGCUUCUUAGAGGGACCAUGAUGCGCGAUAGCACAAGGAAGUUUGGGGCAACAACAGGUCUGUGAUGCCCUUAGAUGUUCUGGGCCGCACACGGGCUACACUGGCGCCUGCAACGAGCAUAUCAGCUGGCCCGAGAGGGUCUUGGCUAAUCUUUUGAACCGGCGCCGUGCUUGGGAUUGACCAUUGCAAUUGUUGGUCAUGCAACGAGGAAUGCCUUGUAAACGCGAGUCAUCAGCUCGCAUUGAAUACGUCCCUGCCCUUUGUACACACCGCCCGUCGCUCCUACCGAUGAAUGUUCCGAUGAAAUUUUCGGAGAGCGCCAGAGAACGGGGCUCUGCCUUGCAGAUCUGGAGGCUCAAAGUCACUUAAAUCUGAACAUUUCGAGGAAGGAGAAGUCGUAACAAGGUAACC
RNAcentral lists this ribosomal RNA (1408 nucleotides) under uncultured Rhizaria. RNAcentral's name for it is "SSU rRNA". It matches the Rfam family "Eukaryotic small subunit ribosomal RNA", at positions 384 to 1804 of the family's 1831-position model. The record is from RNAcentral.